Molecule: long non-coding RNA, 415 nt
Filed under: Piliocolobus tephrosceles (Ugandan red Colobus)
Lineage: Eukaryota; Metazoa; Chordata; Mammalia; Primates; Cercopithecidae
Description: lncRNA (ENSPTEG00000038941.1)
Source: RNAcentral
AGGGGAGCCUAGAAGACGUGCUUCGGUUUCCAGGAUGGUUGUGUUUCCCAGAGAGGCGUAGGUAAACCAUGGGCGCAGCUCUGCCUCCCACAGAUAAUUCCGGUUCAUUGUGGAACCAGCACAGAUUUUCAUAGGAAAGUUAUUUUUUUUAACCUCAAAAAGUGACAGAAUGGAGUGUAUCAUGGAAAAGUCUGACAUAAAACCCUCAAAAUGUGAUAUUGAUUGGGCGAGAUAGAAUUCCAUGGAAUUUCAUUGCCAAACCAGUGAAGUGCUAAUUUUGACAUUUGUACCAGCUAAUGUAGCUGUGAAGAAGCACACCAAUACCACUUCUAAGAUUCAUAUACAUACGCUCUUCCGACAGCACAGCAUAGACCAAGAACUGGGUUUCAUAUGGAUGAAUUUAUUCUUCCUUUGA